This 467-nucleotide ribosomal RNA is filed under the name uncultured bacterium. RNAcentral describes it as "partial 16S ribosomal RNA". It matches the Rfam family "Bacterial small subunit ribosomal RNA", at positions 29 to 507 of the family's 1533-position model. The record is from RNAcentral.
ACGAACGCUGGCGGCGUGCUUAACACAUGCCAGUCGCACGGAAAGGCCCUGCUUUUGUGGGGUGCUCGAGUGGCGAACGGGUGAGUAACACGUGAGUAACCUGCCCUUGACUUUGGGAUAACUUCAGGAAACUGGGGCUAAUACCGGAUAGGAGCUCCUGCUGCAUGGUGGGGGUUGGAAAGUUUCGGCGGUUGGGGAUGGACUCGCGGCUUAUCAGCUUGUUGGUGGGGGAGUGGCUUACCAAGGCUUUGACGGGUAGCCGGCCUGAGAGGGUGACCGGCCACAUUGGGACUGAGAUACGGCCCAGACUCCUACGGGAGGCAGCAGUGGGGAAUAUUGCACAAUGGGCGGAAGCCUGAUGCAGCAACGCCGCGUGCGGGAUGACGGCCUUCGGGUUGUAAACCGCUUUCGCCUGUGACGAAGCGUGAGUGACGGUAAUGGGUAAAGAAGCACCGGCUAACUACGUG